AGCAUAUCAAUAAGCGGAGGAAAAGAAACCAACAGGGAUUGCCCUAGUAACGGCGAGUGAAGCGGCAACAGCUCAAAUUUGAAAUCUGGCGUCUUUGGCGUCCGAGUUGUAAUUUGCAGAGGGCGCUUUGGCAUUGGCAGCGGUCCAAGUUCCUUGGAACAGGACGUCACAGAGGGUGAGAAUCCCGUACGUGGUCGCUAGCCUUUACCGUGUAAAGCCCCUUCGACGAGUCGAGUUGUUUGGGAAUGCAGCUCUAAAUGGGAGGUAAAUUUCUUCUAAAGCUAAAUACUGGCCAGAGACCGAUAGCGCACAAGUAGAGUGAUCGAAAGAUGAAAAGCACUUUGGAAAGAGAGUUAAAAAGCACGUGAAAUUGUUGAAAGGGAAGCGCUUGCAGCCAGACUUGCCUGUAGUUGCUCAUCCGGGUUUUUACCCGGUGCACUCUUCUACGGGCAGGCCAGCAUCAGUUUGGGCGGUUGGAUAAAGGUCUCUGUCAUGUACCUCCUCUCGGGGAGAUCUUAUAGGGGAGACGACAUGCAACCAGCCUGGACUGAGGUCCGCGCAUCUGCUAGGAUGCUGGCGUAAUGGCUGUAAGCGGCCCGUCUUGAAACACGGACCAAGGAGUCUAACAUCUAUGCGAGUGUUUGGGUGUCAAGCCCGAACGCGUAAUGAAAGUGAACGGAGGUGGGAACCUUUCGGGGUGCACCAUCGACCGAUCCUGAUGUCUUCGGAUGGAUUUGAGUAAGAGCAUAGCUGUUGGGACCCGAAAGAUGGUGAACUAUGCUUGAAUAGGGUGAAGCCAGAGGAAACUCUGGUGGAGGCUCGCAGCGGUUCUGACGUGCAAAUCGAUCGUCAAAUUUGGGCAUAGGGGCGAAAGACUAAUCGAACUAUCUAGUAGCUGG
This 899-nucleotide ribosomal RNA is filed under the name Epicoccum nigrum. RNAcentral describes it as "partial large subunit ribosomal RNA". It matches the Rfam family "Eukaryotic large subunit ribosomal RNA", at positions 37 to 954 of the family's 3401-position model. Lineage: Eukaryota; Fungi; Ascomycota; Dothideomycetes; Pleosporales; Didymellaceae. The record is from RNAcentral.